Molecule: long non-coding RNA, 102 nt
Organism: Nannospalax galili (Upper Galilee mountains blind mole rat)
Lineage: Eukaryota; Metazoa; Chordata; Mammalia; Rodentia; Spalacidae
Exons: 3
Source: RefSeq, a predicted model, not a curated record
CUUAUGCAGAUAUUAUGGCAAAGAGUUGUCACGAUGAAGAAGACGAUGAUGGUGAAGAAGAAGUAAAGAGCUUUGAGGUCACAGGAUCCCAAUGCAGCAAGG